This 233-nucleotide unclassified non-coding RNA is filed under the name plant metagenome. Its description in RNAcentral is "partial contains small subunit ribosomal RNA, internal transcribed spacer 1, and 5.8S ribosomal RNA". The record is from RNAcentral.
UCUCCGUUGGUGAACCAGCGGAGGGAUCAUUACCGAGUUUUUCUACUCCCAAACCCCUGUGAACUUAUACCUUUACUGUUGCUUCAGCGGGUUAACGCCCCGGAAGGCCCAAAAAGCCGCCGGAACCAGGCGCCCGUCGGGGGACCCAAACUCUUGUAUUUCUUACUUUGCAUGUCUGAGUGGAAUCAUAAACAAAUGAAUCAAACCUUUCAACAACGGAUCUCUUGGUUCUG